CCCUUAGAUGUUCUGGGCUGCACACGUGCUACACUGGCAGGUUCAGCGAGCUUCAUGCCCUGAUCUGAAAGGAAUGGCAAAUCUUUUCAAAACCUGCCGUGCUUGGGAUAGAUGUUUGCAAUUAUUCAUCUUCAACGAGGAUUGCCUUGUAAGCGCACGUCAUCAGCGUGCAUUGAAUACGACCCUGUAUUCUGUACACACCGCCCGUCGCUCCUACCGAUUGAAGUUUUCGGUGAGUUGACAGGAGGAUUUUUUUGAAACUGGUUCGCCAGUGGAUUUUAGAUCCAAAUGCCAACGAAUCGAUGGCUUUAGAGGAAGGAGAAGUCGUAACA
Molecule: ribosomal RNA, 332 nt
Filed under: uncultured eukaryote
Lineage: Eukaryota
Description: partial 18S ribosomal RNA
Rfam family: Eukaryotic small subunit ribosomal RNA
Source: RNAcentral